This is a long non-coding RNA of Pipistrellus kuhlii (Kuhl's pipistrelle), 119 nucleotides long. RefSeq lists it as uncharacterized. Lineage: Eukaryota; Metazoa; Chordata; Mammalia; Chiroptera; Vespertilionidae. The transcript is spliced from 3 exons. The record is from RefSeq and is a predicted model, not a curated record.
UUCAAUGGUUUAAAAAAAAAAAGGCAAGAGGUUCUGAACAGACACUUUUCCCAAGUAAACAUACAAAUGGCCAACAGAUAUAUGAAAAGAUGCUCAACUUCAAUAGCUAAUACUAAAAU